This 755-nucleotide ribosomal RNA is filed under the name uncultured Bacteroidota bacterium. RNAcentral's name for it is "bacterial SSU rRNA". It matches the Rfam family "Bacterial small subunit ribosomal RNA", at positions 28 to 776 of the family's 1533-position model. Lineage: Bacteria; Pseudomonadati; Bacteroidota. The record is from RNAcentral.
GAUGAACGCUAGCGGCAGGCUUAAUACAUGCAAGUCGAGGGGCAUCAGCUUAUAGCAAUAUAGGGCUGGCGACCGGCAAACGGGUGCGGAACACGUACACAACCUUCCUUUAAGAGGGGGAUAGCCCAUAGAAAUGUGGAUUAAUACCCCGUAAGAUAGUGGGAUGGCAUCAUACUACUAUUAUAGUUACGACGCUUGAAGAUGGGUGUGCGUCUGAUUAGGUAGUUGGCGGGAUAAAGGCCCACCAAGCCUUCGAUCAGUAGCUGAUGUGAGAGCAUGAUCAGCCACACGGGCACUGAGACACGGGCCCGACUCCUACGGGAGGCAGCAGUAAGGAAUAUUGGUCAAUGGACGCAAGUCUGAACCAGCCAUGCCGCGUGAAGGAUGAAGGUCCUCUGGAUUGUAAACUUCUUUUAUAGGGGGCGAAAAAAGGGAAAUCUUUCUCACUUGACAGUACCCUAUGAAUAAGCACCGGCUAACUCCGUGCCAGCAGCCGCGGUAAUACGGAGGGUGCAAGCGUUAUCCGGAUUCACUGGGUUUAAAGGGUGCGUAGGCGGGCGUAUAAGUCAGUGGUGAAAUCCUGGAGCUUAACUCCAGAACUGCCAUUGAUACUAUAUGUCUUGAAUAUGGUGGAGGUAAGCGGAAUAUGUCAUGUAGCGGUGAAAUGCAUAGAUAUGACAUAGAACACCUAUUGCGAAGGCAGCUUACUACGCCUAUAUUGACGCUGAGGCACGAAAGCGUGGGGAUCAAACAGG